Molecule: non-coding RNA, 644 nt
Organism: Odocoileus virginianus texanus
Lineage: Eukaryota; Metazoa; Chordata; Mammalia; Artiodactyla; Cervidae
Source: RefSeq, a predicted model, not a curated record
CAUUAUACAGCCCCAUGUGGUAUUAACAUCACUGUCUUCCGGGAGACGUGACCAGUCCUGUUUUUCCUUUGCUGUGGUCAGGUUACCUGGACAGGGAUUAGAUGCAGGAAAAGUUUUGGGCCCUACAUCAAUUUAAAACAUCCUUAAGGAUGAAUACCAGUCAGCUGGUGACCUGAGGCUUCUGCAGCAUCGGAAAAGAUGGCACUACCCAUGUUUCUUGAGACCUGACCAGCUUCUGCUCGAGCAGAUGGUAAGCAAAAGCAGCACCUUGAAGAGUUGAAGAAAACCAACCAGAAAAUGGUCAUGGAAGGGUUUCCAAACGUGAGGGGGUCAUCCUCUCCACCUCUGUGUCAGUGUGUGAUGCAAUCUUCUCUCUCCUGCUCUUCAUUGCUAGGACACUCUCUACUUCACUCUUUGUAGAACAGAUUUCUUUUUGUUCCUUCAAGUCUUAGCUGCCUCAGUCCAGUUUUCCUUGGUGACCCUCCUAGGUCAGUCUACUUUAUUAUUCUCCACUAUGUUACGCUUCCAAGCCAUUUACAGCACGCAUCACAAUAUGCAAUUCCUAUGUAUUUUUGUUUGCUUCCUUAUUAUUAUCUUGCUUAUAGAAUGCAAAAUCCAUGAAGGUUGAGGCCAUGUCUGUUUAU